Molecule: ribosomal RNA, 1359 nt
Filed under: Lactobacillus sp.
Lineage: Bacteria; Bacillati; Bacillota; Bacilli; Lactobacillales; Lactobacillaceae
Description: bacterial SSU rRNA
Rfam family: Bacterial small subunit ribosomal RNA
Source: RNAcentral
AACUCUGGUAUUGAUUGGUGCUUGCAUCAUGAUUUACAUUUGAGUGAGUGGCGAACUGGUGAGUAACACGUGGGAAACCUGCCCAGAAGCGGGGGAUAACACCUGGAAACAGAUGCUAAUACCGCAUAACAACUUGGACCGCAUGGUCCGAGUUUGAAAGAUGGCUUCGGCUAUCACUUUUGGAUGGUCCCGCGGCGUAUUAGCUAGAUGGUGGGGUAACGGCUCACCAUGGCAAUGAUACGUAGCCGACCUGAGAGGGUAAUCGGCCACAUUGGGACUGAGACACGGCCCAAACUCCUACGGGAGGCAGCAGUAGGGAAUCUUCCACAAUGGACGAAAGUCUGAUGGAGCAACGCCGCGUGAGUGAAGAAGGGUUUCGGCUCGUAAAACUCUGUUGUUAAAGAAGAACAUAUCUGAGAGUAACUGUUCAGGUAUUGACGGUAUUUAACCAGAAAGCCACGGCUAACUACGUGCCAGCAGCCGCGGUAAUACGUAGGUGGCAAGCGUUGUCCGGAUUUAUUGGGCGUAAAGCGAGCGCAGGCGGUUUUUUAAGUCUGAUGUGAAAGCCUUCGGCUCAACCGAAGAAGUGCAUCGGAAACUGGGAAACUUGAGUGCAGAAGAGGACAGUGGAACUCCAUGUGUAGCGGUGAAAUGCGUAGAUAUAUGGAAGAACACCAGUGGCGAAGGCGGCUGUCUGGUCUGUAACUGACGCUGAGGCUCGAAAGUAUGGGUAGCAAACAGGAUUAGAUACCCUGGUAGUCCAUACCGUAAACGAUGAAUGCUAAGUGUUGGAGGGUUUCCGCCCUUCAGUGCUGCAGCUAACGCAUUAAGCAUUCCGCCUGGGGAGUACGGCCGCAAGGCUGAAACUCAAAGGAAUUGACGGGGGCCCGCACAAGCGGUGGAGCAUGUGGUUUAAUUCGAAGCUACGCGAAGAACCUUACCAGGUCUUGACAUACUAUGCAAAUCUAAGAGAUUAGACGUUCCCUUCGGGGACAUGGAUACAGGUGGUGCAUGGUUGUCGUCAGCUCGUGUCGUGAGAUGUUGGGUUAAGUCCCGCAACGAGCGCAACCCUUAUUAUCAGUUGCCAGCAUUAAGUUGGGCACUCUGGUGAGACUGCCGGUGACAAACCGGAGGAAGGUGGGGAUGACGUCAAAUCAUCAUGCCCCUUAUGACCUGGGCUACACACGUGCUACAAUGGAUGGUACAACGAGUUGCGAACUCGCGAGAGUAAGCUAAUCUCUUAAAGCCAUUCUCAGUUCGGAUUGUAGGCUGCAACUCGCCUACAUGAAGUCGGAAUCGCUAGUAAUCGCGGAUCAGCAUGCCGCGGUGAAUACGUUCCCGGGCCUUGUACACACCGCC